RNAcentral lists this ribosomal RNA (454 nucleotides) under uncultured bacterium. RNAcentral's name for it is "bacterial SSU rRNA". It matches the Rfam family "Bacterial small subunit ribosomal RNA", at positions 340 to 784 of the family's 1533-position model. The record is from RNAcentral.
UACGGAAGGCAGCAGUGGGGAAUAUUGCACAAUGGGCGCAAGCCUGAUGCAGCCAUGCCGCGUGUAUGAAGAAGGCCUUCGGGUUGUAAAGUACUUUCAGUCGUGAGGAAGGUGUUAAGGUUAAUAACCUUAGCAAUUGACGUUAGCGACAGAAGAAGCACCGGCUAACUCCGUGCCAGCAGCCGCGGUAAUACGGAGGGUGCGAGCGUUAAUCGGAAUUACUGGGCGUAAAGGGCACGCAGGCGGUUAAUUAAGUUGGAUGUGAAAUCCCCGGGCUUAACCUGGGAAUGGCAUUCAAGACUGGUUAGCUAGAGUCUUGUAGAGGGGGUAGAAUUCCAUGUGUAGCGGUGAAAUGCGUAGAGAUGUGGAGGAAUACCGGUGGCGAAGGCGGCCCCUGGGACAAAGGACUGACGCUCAUGUGCGAAAGCGUGGGGAGCAAACGAGGGAUUAGAUA